Molecule: long non-coding RNA, 3748 nt
Organism: Homo sapiens (human)
Lineage: Eukaryota; Metazoa; Chordata; Mammalia; Primates; Hominidae
Exons: 4
Source: RefSeq, a predicted model, not a curated record
UUUGCCUUCCUGGUGGGUGAUUCAGAGUCACACACGGUAGGUAAGGUGUAGAGGUGGAGGGUUGGGGGUAAAGGAGGAGUGACAGCUUGUGAGGGGAAUGAUCUUGGUUGGGCCAGCUAUUGGUCAUACUAGCCUUGGAAAUUCCACCCUUUUUACUCACCCACUUGUUAUUUCUUCAUCUACUCACCAAAUAUUUGUUGAGAACCUUGGUUUUAGGCACUAGAAAUAAAAUUCUGAGCAUAAGUGGCAAAGUCGCUAUUCUUGUGAAGUUUAAAAUCUCAUGGGGGAAGACAGACAAGCAUCAAAUAACCUCCAAGUACAGACCAACAGCGACAUCAGCUACCUGCUGUGAAGGGGAAGGCCAGGUGCUAUGUGGGUGGCACACGGCCUGUUUUGAGCCUUCAAAAAGAAGUGCUCGGAUGUUGCCCAGGGCACAGCAUCUUUUGGAGUUGCCCGGCUGUGUGUGGAUGAAGGAAGGCCUCUGAGGACCUUAGUGGAGGCCCCCAUGGCCCCCGGUGAUUUUCAGAUGACAAGUCUUUCAUGUGUUAGGGCACAUCCCCAAAUCUGCAGAGCAUUGAGCCCUUCUGCUCAUUCGGCUGCUGGGAAGGCCAGCCUGAACCCUGCAUGGUUGAUUUUUUUUUUUUGAACACUGGGCAGCUGAUUUAUACUUUCACCCUUUGGCUGUUUCUGUGAAGGAGGAGUUUUAAACAUAUCCCCAGAAUGGCCUCGUGGGCACACCAUGGUUUCCUCCAAGAACACUCAGAGGGGUAGGAAAGGCAGAGGUGGGAAACGUACGCAGGCCGUGAACAGAAAAGGCAGAAUAUUCAUUCCCAAGUUCGGUCUAAAGCCCAUGGUUGACAACUUUCAAGAGAUCUCACACUGUAUGUUGUGCUGUUUUUGAAAUGGGACUGAGAAGACUGAAAAGCAAUCCUACAAAAUGUUACCCGUGUUUAUCUCAAGGGUGGGAUCAUCAGGUAGUUUCAGUUUCGUUGUUCUUCUUAAUUUCUUGCAAAUACUCUAUUUUCGUGUACUACUGUGGCAAAUAGAAGAUAAACAGCAAACGUGAUCUUUUCCAAGUGGCGUCUGUUUGGGAGCAGACAUACCCUGAGGAGAUGUUUCCCUGCCGGUAGCUUCUUUGAGGCGAGUUACUGUGAAUCUCAACCGCGAAGCCCAGCUCAGGGUGUGGCGACAGCAGCCUCCCUCGGUGAGAGCAGCGGGCGGCAGGGAUGGAGAAGGCGCCUGUGUCAAGAGAUCCGAGGGGCUUCAGGGAACAUUCGAGGGAGAAGGUCGUGAGGCUCAGCCCUGCACACUCUGAAGCCUCCACGUGUGUCAGGUGGGGGCGUGGGGUGGGGCAGGCCUUCCAAAAUGACACUUUUGUUUUCAAUUAAACAUUAUCUGCACUGUCCAUGGGGCAGAGCUGUGAUGUCCAGUGUGUGGAUGGGGCUUGACUGUGAGGGCCUCAGACACCAAGCCCGCAGAUUCCUGAAAAAGCUCCGGUUCAAAAUUACCAAAGCCUUCCGGGUCAGGCUGUGGAAGUCAGUCAGGCUCCGGAAGCCAAGUUCCGGAAGUCAGUAAGGCCUCGGAAGUCAAGUCCUGGAAGUUGGGCUUGCAAUCAUUAGGUGGAGAUAUUGUUUGUUCUGUGCUCAGAAUUCCCUGGAGUGAGACUCAGGACAAUAUUAAAUCCAAUGAAUCACGCAGCUUUCAGGAGGGCAGGGCAGCACGCUGCAGAGCAGCACUGAAUGAUGGCUUGGCCUGGCGUCCCUGGUGGCAGCAGUGGCCGCACCAGGCACCGUGUUCUCAUUCAACAAAGACUCAGUUUUGAUGUGAGGACUGUGAACAUCUCCAGAACAGGAGACAUUUGGAAGAGCUUGUGCCCACUGGUAUCUGAAACUUGGCUGCUCAUACUCAGGCUAAGGAGCAGAGAUCUGGGAGAACAGGCCCUUUUCAUGGAAGAUGAGAAGUACAAGGGGAAGAACCAAAGCACACAAUUGCUUUUAAAGCUUCUGCUCAGAUGUGCUGCACAUCACACUCCUCACGCUGUUGUGGGCAAAGCAAGCCACAGGCCAAGCCUGGUAGUGGAUCAGCUCCCUCAAGUCUCAUGGCGAUGGGCGAGUGUAUCUGCUGUUACUGAGAAAAGAGAGGGGUAAAUAGUUGUGACAGAUGAUACAAAUGUGCACACCUCAGCUGACACAACUCCAGUGGAACAGGCUGUCUGUUGUACUGGAACCAAUGUGAGCUUUUGGAUUUUCGUCGUCUGUGCAUGAGAGAGAUUCCACUGGACACCAAGCUUAUCCACAGCCUCCAUCCAGAGAUAUCUGGAUUUAAUGAACACCCAGUCACUGCCUGCAAACAGGAGAUACUGAGUUUCCAGUACAUAAGAACUCCUAGAUGCAUGAAUACCUAAGAAGAAAUUAAAUGUGAAGAUCUGAUCAGAAACAUAGUGGAACCAGUGAACACUGGCCAAAAGAAAAAAAAAGUCCCAUUCCACUGCCUGGACAAUAGCAGGAAGGAAUUCCUUAUAGUUUCAUGCCCUGUAUUGGCUUUAGAGUCAUUAAUGAACAGUAUCUAUGUCGUAUGAUCCAUGAAGUAGUGAGAAUUGUUCACACCUGAAACCAUUUUCCUACUGGCUACAGAAACGUUACCAUCAUAUGAUUUAUUAUUAAGUGUUGUUUUCCUUGUCAACAUUUUGUGGUUUAACAGCCCACCUAAGUGUGAAUCAGUUAUCAACUGGCUUUCUUAUUGAAAAGACAGACGAGGCUGCAUGAAAAUGCUUAGCACAUGGGUAGGAAGCAGUGGAUGAAAAUAGCAGAAGUGGGACCCAGAAGAUGAACUCUUUUACAUUUGAUUAUUCAGAUUAUAUGUAAGUUCCCAUCCUGCUGAAAUCUCUUCAGCAGCAAGUUAACCUCCAACCUAAGAAAGAUGGAAGAAAUCAAGAGUUGAAGAUGGAGGGGACAGGGACAGUCUCUGUAUCUGUGUGCUCCCUGAGGUGGGGGCCCCUGCCUCUCCCAUCUUUGCACUCCUCAUGCCUACUGUGUACCUGGUGCAGACCAGCUGCCCUGAAAUGUUUGAGGUGCUGUGUUACCAUUGCCUCUUUUGAUUGCCCACCGAGUGCCUCCUGAGUCAUGCACCCCAUCACAGCCCUCACGCAAGGCCUGGAGACAAACCCAGCACACACCGGCCUAGUAUUAAUUCAUAACCAUCAUCAUGUACCUAAGAUUCUACCUACCUGGAUGUUGAUUGAUGAAAUUUAUAAAGUAUUAGAAGGACUUCAAAUCGACUUACAACUAUCACAUAUGAAAUGCACAAAACCAGCUUUUAAAGCCUUCUAUAAUUUGUUUAAGACUGAAGAACUUUAAGACCAUUACUUUUAUUUAUUUAUUUGUUUGUUUGUUUGUUUGUUUGUUUGUUUUUUGAGGGACAGAGUCUCGCUCUGUCACCCAGCCUGGAGUGCAGUGGCACAAUCUCGGCUCACUGCAAGCUCUGCCUCCCGGGUUCACACCAUUCUCCUGCCUCAGCCUCCCAAGUAGCUGGGACUACAAGUGCCCGCCACCACGACUGGCUAAUUUUUUGUAUUUCUAGUAGAGAUGGGGUUUCACUGUGUUAGCCAGGAUAGUAUCAAUCUCCUGACCUUGUGAUCUCCUCGCCUCGGCCUCCCAAAGUGCUGAGAUUACAGGCAUGAGCCACUGCACCCGGCCCUAGACCAUUACUUUUAAAAUGUAAAAAAAAAAAAAAAAAAAAAAAAAAAAAA